GGGAGGGUGAUCUGGUUGCGACAUCUGUCACCCCAUUGAUCGCCAGGGUUGAUUCGGCUGAUCUGGCUGGCUAGGCGGGUGUCCCCUUCCUCCCUCACCGCUCCAUGUGCGUCCCUCCCGAAGCUGCGCGCUCGGUCGAAGAGGACGACCAUCCCCGCUAGAGGAGGACCGGUCUUCGGUCAAGGGUAUACGAGUAGCUGCGCUCCCCUGCUAGAACGUCCAAACAAGCUCUCAAGUUCUUAAUAACUUCUGCUCGUGGUAGGAGGUCACACCAUUUCUGUCCUUUGUUAUGCCCAUCUUUGUAUCUGUAUUUUUAUGGGGUUACUUAAAAU
This 332-nucleotide small nuclear RNA is filed under the name Bison bison bison. Its description in RNAcentral is "7SK RNA (ENSBBBG00000025505.1)". It matches the Rfam family "7SK RNA". From Rfam's summary of the family: 7SK was discovered as an abundant small nuclear RNA in the mid-70s but a possible function has only recently been suggested. Lineage: Eukaryota; Metazoa; Chordata; Mammalia; Artiodactyla; Bovidae. The record is from Rfam by way of RNAcentral.